ACGUGGCAGGUGACCAGCAGCAGUGCAGCCUGCUGUGCAGGGCUCCGGUGGCCUGUGCUUCCCCACCGUGACCCCACCACUGCCUUCACAGCUGUCCCAGGAGUCCCAGGCUUGAAGACACAGCCAACCGCAGGCAUGUCAGAGCUGUCCCUGCAUCUGCUUCCCUGUGGGCUCACUUUAGCCCUUACCCUGCACCCGGAGCUGUGUAUUUCAAGGUGCCGAGGUGGGGUGGAGCUUGGCAUGGGUGUCAGGCACAUGCCUGGUCACAGUAGGUAACCAGCUCCUGUGCACCGGGGGCCAACCUCAAGUGCAAGUCUGACUUCUCUGGAGGCAGGUGAAGCUGUGUGAAGUUGCCACUGGGGGUGUAGAUGGUGCACACACGGCAGUGGGUCCCCAGCGGCCUGCUGUCACUGCUCCACCUCGGGCCAGCUGCACCUUGCCUGGCUCCUCCACGUGCUCCUGGAGCAGCAGGACGCGCAGCACACACUGGCCGUGGGAAUGGCCCAGGCCAAGUGUGCAGAUAACCAGUCGUGAUGGUCACUUUAAUGAUGUCAUUCUUUGUCCCAAGAGGACAGGAUCUGGGUUAAGUGAGCACUCUGAUCCUGCUGUUUUGCUUGCGGAUCCCUUCCAGGAAUCAGGACCCAUCUGGAGGCAGGGC
Molecule: long non-coding RNA, 658 nt
Filed under: Marmota monax (woodchuck)
Lineage: Eukaryota; Metazoa; Chordata; Mammalia; Rodentia; Sciuridae
Source: RNAcentral